This 1868-nucleotide long non-coding RNA is filed under the name Homo sapiens (human). RNAcentral's name for it is "non-protein coding YEATS2-AS1:6". The record is from RNAcentral. Lineage: Eukaryota; Metazoa; Chordata; Mammalia; Primates; Hominidae.
AUAAUGAUAAAGGCCAUGAUUCUGAGAAAUUAUGAAUUGGAGUGAUUUUCAUUAAUCAGACAUUAUUCUAUUUAUUUAUUUAUUUUGAGAUGGAGUCUCACUCUCGCGCCCAGGCUGGAGCGCAGUGGCGCGAUCUUGGCUCAGUGCAACCUCCGCCUCCCGGGUUCAAGCGAUUCUCCUGCCUCAGCCUCCCAAGUAGCUGGGAUUACCAGGCACCCACCUUCAGGAUCAUGUCCUCCACCACGGACGCAUACACGUUCCUGUGGAGUGCCACGGGCUGCAGGGUGAUCCCAAUCUGGAAAAGCAGAAGAAAGCCGUUUGUUCGUAUCGCUGCUUUAGAAACAGCCUCUCUCCAAACAAGCAUACCUCCCUGACAUGCAAAGCGAUGCCUGGUUGGAAGGAGGACUCUGCAAACAUAUUGGGCAAAAUUCACGGGAAAGGAACACGGAAUAUAACAUCUAGAAGAAUGUUAUCUUGUUUUUCCACAUUUCUGGCUGAUAUUUAAAAUAUGACUAUAAUCCUAUUAAAAUCUCUCAAAUCUCCUUCGUGGGAGAACAUGGUUGGGAUCUGCCUGGGUUCUGAUACGCAAUCAACACUUUGAAAGGUCUGGAAUCAGACUCCAACGUCCUGUUUGCACUUGGAAACUGCAUCUUGCCCAUUCUUCAUGGCAUCCAAUGAAAGCACACUGUCUUUCACCUUGGGCCCUGAGCAACUGGCAGAUGCUGAAGAGCUGUUAGGCUCCAGCAGGGUGGAUAAAUACCUCUCUCCUGUAUAGUAAGGCAGGUGCACGCCAUCUGCACCACAGGCGGGGCACUCAGGAGCUAUCAACACAUCAGGGGAGGAUUACGCGCUGACGUGCAACUCAGAAAGAGUACGACGUGCCUCAUGAGGGAAAGGUGCUUCUACUGAGGCAGAUGAGAAAAACAAGAUGAAGAGUAAUCAACCAUUUCUAUCUAGCCAGCUUUGCUUCACGUCUGCGUUCAACAAGCAAUGUUUUCACAUGUAAUUAGCAUUUCUGCCCAAGGGCUCUGAUGUGGGACGGUGGGAGCCCUGAGAGCACACCUGGGUCAACCAGGCAGAAGGAAGUCAAGCAUCUACGGCACCAGAAGAGUCUGGGUCUGAGUCUGUGUCUGUGAGGCUGAACACCUGGGUCUGGGUCUGUGAAGCUGAACGUCUGAACAUCUAGCUCUGAGCUGGUCUGCUGCAUGAACUAUUAACACCACAACCCCUACCUUCUGUGUGACAUCCCCAAUAAAUUCAGACCCUGGGGUUGGUGGCAGGUAGAACUUGACUUCCUCUUGUUUCUCUUCCUGCUCCUUCUUGAUGUUUAUCUUCACUGGCUCGGAGAGGCUGAGGAUGUCCACCUCCUCCUCAUUCUCGGGUUCCCUUUUCUGGAACUGUUGCAGGUCCUCCAGUUUGCGGCAGAGGUUGUCAGCAGAGGAGAAUGAUGAUGGGCACUCUAAAUGACAGGCAAGCAGUGUUACAACAGCUGUGGGGCCAACGGAAGAGGACUUUCCGUCUCCAAGAGACCCAUGGUCUGAGGAAGGGGGAUAAGCAUCAGGGGAGCUGACCUUCUUUCCAGUUCUAACAUUCUAUGGAUCUAUAAUGAUGAGAACUAGUAAUUCACGAGGGAGAAAGGCAUAAACACAGGCAUCUUGUGUGUGAUCUAUGUAAGGUAACUGCCAUCUAAGAUGAAAGAGUAGGAAUUCUCACUUCUGCCACCAAAAACCAGGUCAUCCCCCUCCCUCUGAGUAUUAAGGACUGACCUGAUUUUUCCUCAUCUCAAAUCUGGAAAAUUUAGAAAUGCAGAGUGAAGAAAAUAAAAAGAAUCACCCCUAUUCUCACUGCUCAGAGAGCAGGACUGUUAA